GGUUGCAGCUCAGUGGUAGAGUGCUUGCCUAGCAUGCAUGAGGCACUGGGUUCAAUUCUCAGAACCA
This 67-nucleotide transfer RNA is filed under the name Marmota monax (woodchuck). It matches the Rfam family "tRNA". Rfam says of the family: Transfer RNA (tRNA) molecules are approximately 80 nucleotides in length. Their secondary structure includes four short double-helical elements and three loops (D, anti-codon, and T loops). Further hydrogen bonds mediate the characteristic L-shaped molecular structure. tRNAs have two regions of fundamental functional importance: the anti-codon, which is responsible for specific mRNA codon recognition, and the 3' end, to which the tRNAs corresponding amino acid is attached (by aminoacyl-tRNA synthetases). tRNAs cope with the degeneracy of the genetic code in two manners: having more than one tRNA (with a specific anti-codon) for a particular amino acid; and 'wobble' base-pairing, i.e. permitting non-standard base-pairing at the 3rd anti-codon position. The record is from Rfam by way of RNAcentral. Lineage: Eukaryota; Metazoa; Chordata; Mammalia; Rodentia; Sciuridae.